RNAcentral lists this ribosomal RNA (756 nucleotides) under uncultured marine microorganism. RNAcentral describes it as "bacterial SSU rRNA". It matches the Rfam family "Bacterial small subunit ribosomal RNA", at positions 8 to 761 of the family's 1533-position model. The record is from RNAcentral.
AGAGUUUGAUCAUGGCUCAGAUUGAACGCUGGCGGCAGGCCUAACACAUGCAAGUCGAACGGUAACAUUUCUAGCUUGCUAGAAGAUGACGAGUGGCGGACGGGUGAGUAAUGCUUGGGAACUUGCCUUUGCGAGGGGGAUAACAGUUGGAAACGACUGCUAAUACCGCAUAACGUCUACGGACCAAACGGGGCUUAGGCUCCGGCGCAAAGAGAGGCCCAAGUGAGAUUAGCUAGUUGGUAAGGUAAUGGCUUACCAAGGCAACGAUCUCUAGCUGUUCUGAGAGGAAGAUCAGCCACACUGGAACUGAGACACGGUCCAGACUCCUACGGGAGGCAGCAGUGGGGAAUAUUGCACAAUGGGGGAAACCCUGAUGCAGCCAUGCCGCGUGUGUGAAGAAGGCCUUCGGGUUGUAAAGCACUUUCAGUUGUGAGGAAAAGUUAGUAGUUAAUACCUGCUAGCCGUGACGUUAACAACAGAAGAAGCACCGGCUAACUCCGUGCCAGCAGCCGCGGUAAUACGGAGGGUGCGAGCGUUAAUCGGAAUUACUGGGCGUAAAGCGCACGCAGGCGGUUUGUUAAGCUAGAUGUGAAAGCCCCGGGCUCAACCUGGGAUAGUCAUUUAGAACUGGCAGACCAGAGUCUUGGAGAGGGGAGUGGAAUUCCAGGUGUAGCGGUGAAAUGCGUAGAUAUCUGGAGGAACAUCAGUGGCGAAGGCGACUCCCUGGCCAAAGACUGACGCUCAUGUGCGAAAGUG